CUCCGGCAGCAGCACGCGGGAGGCGGGGCCGGAGGCUCCUCCGCCCCUCAGCCCGCCCACCCGCGGUCCCGCAGCGGCGCGCGGCUGACGCUCCCUCAGCGAUCCGGCCCUCCGCGGCUCCUGCGCGACCCCACGCAAAAGCGCCCCGUGCGAAGAGCGCGGCCAGCCAGUCCGCAAAGGGCCUCGGGCAGUGCGGGCAGCACGAACGGCGCGAUCGGGGAGCAGGCGCGGCUACGCUCCGCCUCAGUGAUGUCGCCGGGAGGAUCUCCGCGCGGCUACCUCCUCUUCCGCCGCCUUCCUCCCACGCCUUCACCUCCCUCCCCCGCCGCGCUCUGCGGCGAAAAGGAGCGGGCUCCCAGGCCACCUCCCCUCUCUCCACCCAGGGGCCGCGCGUCAGUGGACCUGCAGCCCAGGCAACGGGGCUGCGGACGGCGCGCGUGCCCUGCCUCGCCUCACGCCGGUAGCUGAUGCUCCCGCGGCAGCUGCCACCCCAGCGCCCCAGCCACGGCUUCAGAGGCUCUCGCACGCUGGCUUUUUUUUUUUCCCCCCGCUUUGGUGAACUCGCAGUACUUGGGCUGAGCCCGAAAUCUCGCGAGAUGCUGCAGGCGUCAGUGCGGCUUCCCACUAGGCGCGUGGUACCCGAGGCCGGGCCGGAGCCGCAGGCCAGCCGCGAUUCCUUCGGGCGAUGCUGGGGGCUUUCCGGUCGGGGCCGCAGCCGCUUCCGGAGCCGCGGGCGAGGUGCGUUCCCCAGCCUGGUUUGCUCUGGGCUCUGACCCGCCGCCGCGAAUCUCCGCUCGUAACUCCGGGCCUGAACCUGGAGGAGGGAGGAUUUCCUCUGUGCAGCUUUCGAGCGGUAGACUCACCCUGCCAGGCAGACCUAGAUUGGCAUAACCAGAGAUCAGUUCCAGUUGUGAUGCAGUGGGUGUCUACACACUUCUGAUGACACCUUUAUUUUAAAAGCUGAUGUUCCAAGUAGAGUCGGGGUUUCACCGUGUUAGCCAGGAUGGUCUCGAUCUCCUGACCUCGUGAUCCGCCCACCUCCGCCUCUCCAAGUGCUGGGAUUACAGGCAUGAGCCACCGCGCCCGGCCCUUGUAUUUUUAAACUUUGACUUUAUGGAGACGAACACCAUCGUUUGCUGAACACUUGAAACAUGAUGAAAGAGCCACAGAGUUGGCAGAACUGUUUGAAAAUGCUGUGCAAGCGGUCUUCUCUGUCUUCUUUAUGGCCAGUAAAAUUCUCCAGAAGAGAUUUAUGGCAGCCUCACUCCCAGUAGUUUCUGCAUUUAGUGAGAUAAGGAAUGGAUUUUCUUCUGUGUAUUGCUGACACGAACAGGAGACGGAAAUACUGAGUAGAAGAGGGCGGUUCCCUGGCUAAGGCCCCACCCUCAAGCCUGGAUACCCGCGGCCCUAAAUGAGAAGAGGCGUUUCUGUUUGGGGCCCAAAAAGUUGCUUUUUGACCCACCACGCCCCCUAUCCUGCCCCCAUAUAAACCCCAAACCCCAACCUCCAGAGCAUACCAGCAGGUGAGGAGAUACGAGGCAAGCCGACUGACGGCAAAACGACGUAGCAGAGAAAGAGAGAAGAGGAGGGACGUCUGGACACCGAGAGAUGUUUGGCUCGGGGCAGUCAGAGCGGAGUCCAGCCCCUGGGCGGCCCAACUCCAGGGGAAGAUCACCUUCCCACUUCAUCCAUCCCCACCCUUCCAGCUCCCCAUCCAUCCUGCUGAAAGCCAUUUCCACCACUCAAUAAAACCUCGCAUUCAUCCUUCAAGUCCGUGUGUGACCCGAUUUUUCCUGGAUUCUGGAAAAGAGCUCGGAAUACAGAAAGCUGUCCCCUGGUCCUUUGCCCUUGUGAAAAAGCAGAAGGUCCAUUGAGCUGGUUAACACUCCAGCUGUCUGUGGUGGCCAAGCUGAAAGAGCUUUGUAACACUGGGGUUGCAGGCACCCACCUCUAGACGCUACCGCAGAGCCAGAGCCCAAAGCCCUCACCCCGGCCUCUGCACUUGCCCAUCUGCGUGCUCCCCCUCUCGCAAGGGGUUUCUGCAGAGGGGGCUACUGAACAGAUGGAAUCUUGCUCUCUUGCUCAGACUGGAGUGCAGUGGCAUGACCUUGGCUCACUGCAACCUCACCUCUCGGGUUCAAGCGAUUCUGCCUCAGCCUCUCGAGUAGCUGGGACUACAGGUGGGAGACCUCCACAGAACCCUUCCAGCAAGCUGUCUUCUAAAGCAAACAAGAAAAGGAAAGUCUGAGCAGUUUUGAUUAGAUUUCCCAGAAGUCAAAGCAAGGAAAAAUGAAAAAGCUUCAUUUCUCACGUUCUUAAAAGAGAGCACAGAUGUUGCAUCAUCUGGUUAGAUACCCUGAGAAUAAAAUCUGGAUCCAGUGAGAGGAAAGAUUCUGGGUGCUCAUGAAAAAAGAAACAAAACAAAACUUGGGAGCCUCUUGAGAGUGUACAGCAUCAGCCCUUGCCAACUCUUGUUUAUAUGCAUUUAACUUUCAGUUAACCAUGGGAAUAAUUCAUGAAAAUCCAAUCUACAAACAAAGGCCAUCCUAACGUUCAUGUUAUUCUUUUCCCUAAGAAUCUUUCACAAGAGCUAUAAUCAAGUAGAAUUAUGCUUUGAUUUGAAUUCUAAUUCAAUUGAAAAUAAAAAAUGAGGGCCGGACGCGGUGGCUCAUGCCUGUAAUCCCAGCGCUUUGGGAGGCUGAGGUGGACGGAUCACGAGGUCAGGAGAUCGAGACCAUCCUGGCUAACACGGUGAAACCCGAUCCCUACUAAAAAUACAAAAAAUUAGCCGGGCGUGGUGGCAGGCGCCUGUAGUCCCAGCUACUCGGGAGGCUGAGGCAGGAGAAUGGCGUGAACCCAGGAGGCAGAGGUUGCAGUGAGCCGAGAUCAUGCUACUGCACUCCAGCCUGGGCGACAGAGCGAGACUCUGUGUAUAAAUAAAUAAAUAAAUAAAUAAAUAACGAAAAGGUUGCCAUUGCCCUUUCUGGGGAAAGUGAUAAUGAGGAAAGACUAGUUUCUUAACCCAAGUCAGCUUUAGAGUCGGCAAGGAUGCAAUUUGAGGUGAUCCAGGAAAACUCUAUUAGCAUGGUAUAAGCCUGGUUUUGCAGUAUAUACAGCAAGCCAUAGGAAGUUUCAUUGGAAGCGUUGUGGAACUCAUUGAGAGUUGAAUGGAAGAAAGAACCUAUAGCAGAAAUUUCCAG
RNAcentral lists this long non-coding RNA (3200 nucleotides) under Homo sapiens (human). RNAcentral describes it as "HSALNT0094161". The record is from RNAcentral. Lineage: Eukaryota; Metazoa; Chordata; Mammalia; Primates; Hominidae.